GACGAACGCUGGCGGCGUGCUUAACACAUGCAAGUCGAACGGAAAGGCCCCUUUGGGGGUACUCGAGUGGCGAACGGUUGAGUAACACGUGAGUAACCUGCCCUUGACUUCGGGAUAACUUCAGGAACCUGGGGCUAAUACCGGAUAGGAAUCCUUGCUGCAUGGUGGGGGUUGGGAAGCUUCGGCGGUUUUGGAUGGACUCGCGGCUUAUCAGCUUGUUGGUGGGGUAGUGGCUUACCAAGGCUUUGACGGGUAGCCGGCCUGAGAGGGCGACCGGCCACACUGGGACUGAGAGACGGCCCAGACUCCUACGGGAGGCAGCAGGGGGGAAGAUUGCACAAUGGGCGGCAGCCUGAUGCAGCAACGCCGCGUGCGGGAUGACGGCUUUCGGGGUGUAAACCGCUUUCAGCAGGGGCGAAGCUUGUGGUGACGGUACCUGCAGAAGAAGCACCGGCUAACUACGUG
Molecule: ribosomal RNA, 465 nt
Filed under: uncultured bacterium
Lineage: Bacteria
Description: partial 16S ribosomal RNA
Rfam family: Bacterial small subunit ribosomal RNA
Source: RNAcentral